RNAcentral lists this ribosomal RNA (550 nucleotides) under Odorrana andersonii (golden crossband frog). RNAcentral describes it as "partial 16S ribosomal RNA". It matches the Rfam family "Bacterial large subunit ribosomal RNA", at positions 1849 to 2613 of the family's 2925-position model. The record is from RNAcentral. Lineage: Eukaryota; Metazoa; Chordata; Amphibia; Anura; Ranidae.
AGAGGUCAGCCUGCCCAGUGACAUAGUUUAACGGCCGCGGUACCCUAACCGUGCGAAGGUAGCAUAAUCACUUGUUCUUUAAAUAAGGACUCGUAUCAACGGCAUCACGAGGGCUGUACUGUCUCCUUUCUCCAAUCAGUGAAACUGAUCUCCCCGUGAAGAAGCGGGGAUUGACCUAUAAGACGAGAAGACCCCAUGGAGCUUUAAACCCAAUACACACCUCUACGCACCCAAAUCAAUAUAGCCUAAGAGACUUGCGUGUUGGUUUUAGGUUGGGGGGACCACGGAGUAUAAUCAAACCUCCAUGACAGACGGGCUAACACCCUUAUCCAUGAACCACAAUUCUAAGAGCCAAUAAAUUGUUGUCUAAUGACCCAAUUACUUGAUCAACGAACCAAGUUACCCUGGGGAUAACAGCGCAAUCUACUUCAAGAGCCCCUAUCGACAAGUAGGUUUACGACCUCGAUGUUGGAUCAGGGUAUCCUAGUGGUGCAGCCGCUACUAAAGGUUCGUUUGUUCAACGAUUAAAACCCUACGUGAUCUGAUUUCC